AACCAUAGAAACCUGCGGAGUACCUGCGGAAGGAUCAUUAAAAAGAGUGUGUACCCCCCUGUAAAAUGGGUGGGUUACCUCCCGUCCUUUGUUGACCUCUUAGGAGGUUAUUUUGAACUUUUCUGCUUCGGUGGGGUUAAACCUACCGGAACACCCUCAAAUUCUGAUCAUUUAAAAAUUGUUCAGUCCGAUUUUUGUUAAUAAAAACAAAAAACUUUUAACAACGGAUCUCAGAUCGGA
Molecule: unclassified non-coding RNA, 240 nt
Filed under: soil metagenome
Description: partial contains 5.8S ribosomal RNA, internal transcribed spacer 2, and large subunit ribosomal RNA
Source: RNAcentral